GGCUAGGUAGCUCACCCGGUUAGAGCGCCGCCCUCAUAAAGCGGAGGUAGUGAGUUCGAUUCUCACCCUAGCCACCA
Molecule: transfer RNA, 77 nt
Filed under: candidate division WWE3 bacterium RIFCSPLOWO2_01_FULL_53_14
Lineage: Bacteria; candidate division WWE3
Also listed under: 1 other name
Description: tRNA-Met
Rfam family: tRNA
About the family: Transfer RNA (tRNA) molecules are approximately 80 nucleotides in length. Their secondary structure includes four short double-helical elements and three loops (D, anti-codon, and T loops).
Source: RNAcentral